GGAUCUGUAGCUCAAUCGGUAGAGCAGCGGACUCUUAAUCCGUUGGUUCGGGGUUCGAGUCCCCGCAGAUCUA
This 73-nucleotide transfer RNA is filed under the name Myxococcales bacterium. RNAcentral describes it as "tRNA-Lys". It matches the Rfam family "tRNA". Rfam says of the family: Transfer RNA (tRNA) molecules are approximately 80 nucleotides in length. Lineage: Bacteria; Pseudomonadati; Myxococcota; Myxococcia; Myxococcales. The record is from RNAcentral.